UUGAAAUACUGAUUUCAAAUUCAGAAUUGAAAAGCAGUAAACAAUCGUUAAAGUAUAAGAGAAUUUGAAUGCAUACAUGAAAGAAAAUGUGAUGACAAGAACACAAUCUUAGAAUGACAAAAAAAACCCUAAAUAACCUCUAAAAUCAAAACCUAAAACAAAACUUUAAAUAACUCCUAAAAUCAAAACUCAAAACAGAAUCCUAAAUAACUCCUAAAAUCAAAAUCCAAAACAGAAUCCUAAAUAAUCUCUAAAAUCAAAAGCCAAAAUGCAAAAUCUACAUAACCCUAAAAUCUAACACCCAAAACAGAACCUUACAUAAUCUCUACGAUCAAAAUCCAAAACGAAAUUCUAAAUAACACCUAAAAUCAAAACUCAAAACAAAACCCUAAAUAACCUCUAAAAUCAAAACCCAAUUGGUAACCUAAAUAACCCCUUUAAAACCAAAAACCAAAAAAACUCCAAUAUCAAAAAACAAAUGAAAAAAAAACAACCUCAAAAUCGAAGAAAAAAUCGAUUCACACUCGCACUCCAAGUUGCACUCCCAAUCGAAAUUGAAAAUCGUACUCGUCACCAAAAUCUCACUUCAAUUCCAAAUCUCCUUAAAAUCGCAUUGCUCAAACUUCUGCUUCAUUCUCGCAAAAGCUACUCUUUCAACCCUACAUUUUUAAAAUCACCACCUUAUCAACUCAACCCCACAAUUCAAUAUUCUAUCAUUUCAUUGUCCACGUCAUGAGGUGUAAUUUUGCGCAUCC
This 755-nucleotide long non-coding RNA is filed under the name Phaseolus vulgaris (common bean). RNAcentral describes it as "long non-coding RNA (PVUL_LNC005098)". The record is from RNAcentral. Lineage: Eukaryota; Viridiplantae; Streptophyta; Magnoliopsida; Fabales; Fabaceae.